Molecule: ribosomal RNA, 301 nt
Filed under: uncultured bacterium
Lineage: Bacteria
Description: partial 16S ribosomal RNA
Rfam family: Archaeal small subunit ribosomal RNA
Source: RNAcentral
CAGUAGCCGCGGUAAUACCAGCAGCCCUAGUGGUGGUCGCGAUUAUUGGGCCUAAAGCGCUCGUAGCCGGGCCGGUAAGUCCCUUGUGAAAUCGGACGGCCUAACCGUUCGGCGUGCAAGGGAUACUGUCGGUCUUGAGGCCGGGAGACGUCCGAGGUACUCCGGGGGUAGCGGUGAAAUGUUCUGAUCCUCGGGGGACCACCGGUGGCGAAGGCGUUCGACGAGAACGGGCCUGACGGUGAGGGGCGAAGGCUAGGGGAGCAAACGGGAUUAGAUACCCCCGUAGUCCCUGUCUCUUAUA